This is a non-coding RNA of Salvelinus sp. IW2-2015, 365 nucleotides long. The record is from RefSeq and is a predicted model, not a curated record. Lineage: Eukaryota; Metazoa; Chordata; Actinopteri; Salmoniformes; Salmonidae.
ACAGAGACAGAGCUUCCAUGCUGGAGAGAAAAAAAGUCACUGAGGGGACAGAUCACCUGUGGCCAGUACCCGUACUGUCAUUCCAGGACGUCACCUAUCACUUCAGAGUGGCCAAGUCUAGUGAAGUGAGGUGUGGCGUAGAGGAGGAGAAGGUAUCCACCACCACACCACCAUACUCUGACUUCUACUUCCUCAUUCAAAGCAGCUGCGCAUGAGAGGAGAGGGAACUAAGCAUGCAAACGAGCGUGCUUGCUUUGAAUCUAGCCUAUCCCCUGACUGACUCAGGGUUUCUUAAAGGGACAGUUGCCCUUUUAUCUACUUCCCCWGAGUCAGAUGAACUCGUGGAUACCCAAUUUUUAUGUCUC